Molecule: ribosomal RNA, 400 nt
Filed under: uncultured bacterium
Lineage: Bacteria
Description: bacterial SSU rRNA
Rfam family: Bacterial small subunit ribosomal RNA
Source: RNAcentral
GGGGAAUAUUGGACAAUGGGGGAAACCCUGAUCCAGCGACGCCGCGUGAGUGAAGAAGUGUUUCGGCAUGUAAAGCUCUAUCAGCAGGGAAGAAAAUGACGGUACCUGACUAAGAAGCCCCGGCUAACUACGUGCCAGCAGCCGCGGUAAUACGUAGGGGGCAAGCGUUAUCCGGAUUUACUGGGUGUAAAGGGAGCGUAGACGGUGAUGUAAGUCAGAUGUGAAAGCCCGGGGCUCAACCCCGGGACUGCAUUUGAAACUAUGUUGCUAGAGUGCAGGAGAGGUAAGUGGAAUUCCUAGUGUAGCGGUGAAAUGCGUAGAUAUUAGGAGGAACACCAGUGGCGAAGGCGGCUUACUGGACUGUAACUGACGUUGAGGCUCGAAAGCGUGGGGAGCAAAC